This 246-nucleotide long non-coding RNA is filed under the name Elaeis guineensis (African oil palm). RNAcentral's name for it is "long non-coding RNA (EGUI_LNC058724)". The record is from RNAcentral. Lineage: Eukaryota; Viridiplantae; Streptophyta; Magnoliopsida; Arecales; Arecaceae.
GCCCCCAUUUGCCGACCAAUCUCCGGAACAGUCUGACUGACACUAGGCUCUGACCCACCAAAUAAAUGGAUAAUCUUGAAGUGACUACCGACUAUAUGUCGGUUAAGUAGACCGACACUACUUUCAAUUGAUCGAUCGAAUCUCCUUUGCCGACCCAGAUCAGUAAGCGAUCGAUGUUCGAAUUCUACAGACAACAGACUACUUCGACCGUCAGUAUUUCAGAGUGACUAACCGACAACCGAACCU